This 419-nucleotide ribosomal RNA is filed under the name bacterium. RNAcentral's name for it is "partial 16S ribosomal RNA". It matches the Rfam family "Bacterial small subunit ribosomal RNA", at positions 355 to 776 of the family's 1533-position model. The record is from RNAcentral.
UGGGGGAUAUUGCACAAUGGGCGAAAGCCUGAUGCAGCGACGCCGCGUGGGGGAUGAAGGCCUUCGGGUUGUAAACUUCUUUUGCUCUGAACAAGGCAUGCUAAUGGGUGUGUUGAGUGUAGGGGUUGAUUAGCGCCGGCUAACUACGUGCCAGCAGCCGCGGUAAUACGUAGGGCGCGAGCGUUGUCCGGAAUUAUUGGGCGUAAAGGGCUUGUAGGUGGCUGGUUGCGUCUGUCGUGAAAGCUCAUGGCUUAACUGUGGGUUUGCGGUGGGUACGGGCUGGCUUGAGUGCAGUAGUGGAGGCUGGAAUUCCUGGUGUAGCGGUGGAAUGCGCAGAUAUCAGGAGGAAUACCGGUGGCGAAGGCGGGUCUCUGGGCUGUUACUGACACUGAGGAGCGAAAGCAUGGGGAGCGAACAGG